GUCCACGCUGUAAACUAUGGGUACUAGAUGUCGGGAGCACUUAUCCUCCCGGUGUCGUAGCUAACGCGUUAAGUACCCCGCCUGGGGAUUACGGUCGCAAGAUUAAACUCAAAGAAUUGACGGGGCCCGCACAAGCGGUGGAGUAUGUGGUUUAAUUCGAUGCAACGCGAAACCUUAACCUGGGCUUGACAUCCGACGCUACUCCGUGAAAGCGGAGGUUCCCGCAAGGGACGUCGAGACAGGUGCUGCAUGGCUGUCGU
This 260-nucleotide ribosomal RNA is filed under the name uncultured bacterium. RNAcentral's name for it is "partial 16S ribosomal RNA". It matches the Rfam family "Bacterial small subunit ribosomal RNA", at positions 793 to 1055 of the family's 1533-position model. The record is from RNAcentral.